CUUGAGCUAAUACCGGAUGCCCUCAUCAGAUCGAAUGAUCCGAGGAGGAAAGAUUUAUCGCUUUGGGAGGGUCUCGCGGCCUAUCAGCUUGUUGGUGAGGUAACGGCUCACCAAGGCAUUGACGGGUAGCUAGUCUGAGAGGACGAAUAGCCACACUGGGACUGAGACACGGCCCAGACUCCUACGGGAGGCAGCAGCAGGGAAUCUUGCACAAUGGACGAAAGUCUGAUGCAGCGACGCCGCGUGGGGGAUGAAGGCCCUAGGGUCGUAAACCCCUUUCAGUGGGGACGAAAAUGACGGUACCCACAGAAGAAGGUCCGGCCAACUACGUG
RNAcentral lists this ribosomal RNA (332 nucleotides) under uncultured bacterium. RNAcentral's name for it is "bacterial SSU rRNA". It matches the Rfam family "Bacterial small subunit ribosomal RNA", at positions 157 to 507 of the family's 1533-position model. The record is from RNAcentral.